AAAAAGACAAACCCUGGUUUCCGUGCCCAACGUUUGACCGUCCGUCUUAUUUGAAAAAAUUAUAAAAAAAACUAAAAAAACAAGUCACGCAUAAAAUAUUAAUCAUGUUUUAUUAUCUAACAACAAUGAAAAUAUGAAUUAUAAAAAAAUUUCAUAUAAGACGGAUAGUUAAAGUUGGACACGCAAACCCAGGGUUUGCCUUUUU
RNAcentral lists this microRNA precursor (205 nucleotides) under Oryza glumipatula. Its description in RNAcentral is "MIR812 microRNA precursor family". It matches the Rfam family "MIR812 microRNA precursor family". Lineage: Eukaryota; Viridiplantae; Streptophyta; Magnoliopsida; Poales; Poaceae. The record is from Rfam by way of RNAcentral.